RNAcentral lists this long non-coding RNA (913 nucleotides) under Carica papaya (papaya). RNAcentral describes it as "long non-coding RNA (CPAP_LNC007269)". The record is from RNAcentral. Lineage: Eukaryota; Viridiplantae; Streptophyta; Magnoliopsida; Brassicales; Caricaceae.
CCCGUUGAAGAAGAAGAACCAGAUGCUGGAGAAGAAGAUCGGCCCCUGGCUACCGCCGCACCGGAGCCACCAUUGAUCGCCAAAAAAGGUAAUUUUUUCCUUUCCCACUCAAAAUUCGAUUCCGAGGUUCUCUCUGGCCAUAUCCGAGUAAAAGAAAUGGUGGGUAAGCCGAAAAAUGUCGACAAAGCCCGACGGAGUCACGGCAGCCAAAAUCCUAAACCCCCUCUGAUGAGCCCAUUCUCAUUUUUUGUUUCACACGAUUCUUUGAGCAUUGUGUUUACUGUCUCUUUCUGUGCAGAUUAGCAAAAGAAGAAAUCCUAGCGAAGGAGAACCAGCGGAGCCACUGCAUUCAGAGAGUCCCCACCGGUAUGUUUAGUUUUUUAGUUUUUCUGGCCAACUGAGACUUCUUAAUGUAUUUUUUUGUAAGGAUACGUAUAAAACUAGCUAAAUCCAGCUAAAACUAGCCAGAUCGAGGCAAACUACUGCCAUGGGUGGCGAAGCCGGCAUUGGAGCAUGGCGGUGUCGCCGUGCCGGAACCCUAAAAUUGGUCAGAAAUGAUUUUCAAUGCCGAUUUUAGAUUUUGGGGUAUCUUUAGGUACAUGAUGAAUAUUUUAAUUCCCGCAGCAAAAAUUUGAGGCCCACCAAGAGGCGUAGUGAGUAGCACAAUAUUUCGAAACACCGAUCCUGAUAAGGAUCCUUCACCAUAUUUUCUGUUACGGUAAAUUGAGACUUAAUAAUUAAUAAUUUUAUAUUUUAUGAAAAUAAAAAAAAAUCAUAAUAAUAAUUACAUGUCGCUAGUGGAGUCGAAAUCAAUCAGUAUACGAUUGCUCUAAUUUACUAUCAUUUUCUCCUGUAUUGCUUAAAAUAUUUACUAUUGAAUUAUGUGCAUUAAAUUGUUAAUUUGAAUUGUGUC